This 467-nucleotide ribosomal RNA is filed under the name uncultured bacterium. RNAcentral's name for it is "partial 16S ribosomal RNA". It matches the Rfam family "Bacterial small subunit ribosomal RNA", at positions 355 to 810 of the family's 1533-position model. The record is from RNAcentral.
UGGGGAAUAUUGCACAAUGGGCGCAAGCCUGAUGCAGCCAUGCCGCGUGUGUGAAGAAGGCCUUCGGGUUGUAAAGCACUUUCAGCGAGGAGGAAGGUGGUGAACUUAAUACGUUCAUCAAUUGACGUUACUCGCAGAAGAAGCACCGGCUAACUCCGUGCCAGCAGCCGCGGUAAUACGGAGGGUGCAAGCGUUAAUCGGAAUUACUGGGCGUAAAGCGCACGCAGGCGGUUUGUUAAGUCAGAUGUGAAAUCCCCGGGCUCAACCUGGGAACUGCAUUUGAAACUGGCAAGCUAGAGUCUCGUAGAGGGGGGUAGAAUUCCAGGUGUAGCGGUGAAAUGCGUAGAGAUCUGGAGGAAUACCGGUGGCGAAGGCGGCCCCCCUGGANGAAGACUGACGCUCAGGUGCGAAAAGGCGUGGGGGAGCAAACAGAUUAGNUACCCUGGUAGUCCACCGCUGUAAACGAU